GAACGCUGGCGGCGUGCUUAACACAUGCAAGUCGUGCGCGAAAGCGGCUUCGGCCGCGUGUAGAGCGGCGAACGGGUGAGUAACACGUGGACAACCUGCCCAAGAGUGGGGGAUAACCUGGGGAAACUCGGGCUAAUACCGCAUACGUUCGUGGGGGCUUCGGCCCUGCGCAGAAAGGUGGCCUAUGCUUGCAAGCCACCGCUCCUGGAGGGGUCCGCGUCUGAUUAGCUAGUUGGCGGGGUAAUGGCCCACCAAGGCGACGAUCAGUAGCCGGCCUGAGAGGGUGAUCGGCCACACUGGAACUGAGACACGGUCCAGACUCCUACGGGAGGCAGCAGUGGGGAAUAUUGGACAAUGGGGGAAACCCUGAUCCAGCAACGCCGCGUGGAGGAUGAAGGUCUUCGGAUUGUAAAACUCCUGUUAGGGGGGGACGAAGGGGAUGUCGGCAAACAGCCGGCAAAACUUGACGGUACCCCCCAGAGGAAGCCCCGGCUAACUCUGUGCCAGCAGCCGCGGUAAUACAGAGGGGG
Molecule: ribosomal RNA, 530 nt
Filed under: uncultured bacterium
Lineage: Bacteria
Description: bacterial SSU rRNA
Rfam family: Bacterial small subunit ribosomal RNA
Source: RNAcentral